AAUCGAAAUUUGACAGUGCGACAAUCAGCAAGCGGCUGUAAACAAGCUGAAGAGAAGUGCAUGAACGCGGCCUCAAUCAGGCGACAUUUAAAGGAUAAAUCCAAUCCUCUAGAGCUUCCGCGUGCACUCAUAUUGAGGACUUCCAAAAGGAGCUGUAGUAUAAUGGGUUAAUAAACAGAUGAAUCUCUUCGUUCAACUUCAAUACCUCCGCUCAUAAAAG
Molecule: long non-coding RNA, 220 nt
Organism: Rhagoletis zephyria (snowberry fruit fly)
Lineage: Eukaryota; Metazoa; Arthropoda; Insecta; Diptera; Tephritidae
Source: RefSeq, a predicted model, not a curated record